AUUUAGUCUACGUCUAAAGUAUCUGACGUUUCUUGCCAAUUGUUUGAUACGUUUCUUUCCAGCAUCAGUUCCAUCCUCGCCAGAGAUGAUUCUCAUAGAUGCGAUAAUUUGUUGGGCGACGGGAGGUGACAUGGCAAUUGCCUAUAUAUCCGCCAGCAGAUCCAAAACUUUUCGUAAAUGUUCCCAUAAGUAUAUCGAUUUCCCGAGGAUCUAUAUCAUAAUAAUCACAAACUCCUCGUCCAUGCUUCCCUAUUGCCCCUAUACUAUGAGCCUCGUCCACGUAAAGAUAGGCCUAAAUUUAAUGACAAUGAGUAUUAUUAACUCUUUGCGAUUGUAAUACUUUUUUGUAAUACUAGAAAUAUUUUUCGAUCGUAAAGAGUUAAGAACACAUAAUGAUAAUGAUAUAUUAUUGAAUAAUUCAGAACAAUGCCUCUUUGCAUAUUUCCAACAUUACCUAACAAAUGUGAAAUAAUCAAAUAUAAUGUCUUAACAUUUGUAUUAAAAUUAAUGAUAAUGAGUUCUUAUCAAUACUAUUACACUUUAUCCUCUAUUUCAAAAAAAUCCUGUUAUCAACAAUUAUACCAACUUUGUACUUUUUUUUCAGUUCCAGAAUUUCAGGAAGGUGGACUAUUGAUCCUUCCAUUGAAUAAAUACCCUCAACUAUUAUAAUUAUUUUCUUCCAUGGUUCACCAUUUUUAGGUUGACCAUAAACUAUUGCUUUUUUUAAAUGAUCCUCCAAAUGUUUUACAUCUGCAAUAAGGACAUGUACAUAUGUAGUUUAUCCUACACCUUUUAUAUCAUCUUAAUAAUAAUAUCCACUUACUGUUAUGGUGAAAAACACGUAUUGUUGCUCCUGAUAAUCGUAAUCCAAGAAUGAGUGACGCGUGAUUUUUUUCAUCGCUAAGUACCAAACAGCCUUUACUAACAAGGGAUGGCAAAUUUAAUGCAUUUGUUGCAAAUCCCAUCCCAAAUACUAUGGCAUCUUCAACUCCCAAAAAUGAAGCUGUUAAUUUUUCUAACUCUUCAUGGAUAGGUGCAUUUCCUAACAAACAAAAUAUGUUUUAAUUGAAAUUCUAUUUGAAUGUAUCGAUUGGUUUUGUUUUUACCUCGUUAUAUUAAAUAUAUAGUUUUACCUAAUUCAAGUCGAGUACUACAGCUGCUACAACCUAAUUUUUGGAGAACCAUGAUAGAUUGUUCCGCACAUGCUCCGCUUGAUUCUGCAAAGCCUAGAUAAUUGUAAGAUCCUAAAUUUAUGCAAGACCUUUCAGAUCCAGUAAACCUGUUGAUUGUGUCAAAUAUAAAUAUAUUAUUGUUACAUUAAUAUUAGCAAUUCAUAUAUAA
Long non-coding RNA from Vespula vulgaris, 1341 nucleotides. RefSeq lists it as uncharacterized. The record is from RefSeq and is a predicted model, not a curated record. The transcript has 2 exons. Lineage: Eukaryota; Metazoa; Arthropoda; Insecta; Hymenoptera; Vespidae.